RNAcentral lists this ribosomal RNA (486 nucleotides) under uncultured bacterium. RNAcentral describes it as "bacterial SSU rRNA". It matches the Rfam family "Bacterial small subunit ribosomal RNA", at positions 28 to 498 of the family's 1533-position model. The record is from RNAcentral.
GACGAACGCUGGCGGCGUGCCUAAUACAUGCAAGUCGAGCGGACCAAAGGGAGCUUGCUCCUGGAGGUUAGCGGCGAACGGGUGAGUAACACGUGGGCAACCUGCCUGUAAGACUGGGAUAACAUCGAGAAAUCGGUGCUAAUACCGGAUAAUAAAAAGAACUGCAUGGUUCUUUUUGAAAGAUGGUUUCGGCUAUCACUUACAGAUGGGCCCGCGGCGCAUUAGCUAGUUGGUGAGGUAACGGCUCACCAAGGCAACGAUGCGUAGCCGACCUGAGAGGGUGAUCGGCCACACUGGGACUGAGACACGGCCCAGACUCCUACGGGAGGCAGCAGUAGGGAAUCUUCCGCAAUGGACGAAAGUCUGACGGAGCAACGCCGCGUGAGUGAUGAAGGUUUUCGGAUCGUAAAACUCUGUUGUUAGGGAAGAACAAGUGCCGUUCGAAAGGGCGGCACCUUGACGGUACCUAACGAGAAAGCCACGGCU